This 3791-nucleotide long non-coding RNA is filed under the name Panax ginseng (ginseng). RNAcentral's name for it is "long non-coding RNA (PGIN_LNC017291)". The record is from RNAcentral. Lineage: Eukaryota; Viridiplantae; Streptophyta; Magnoliopsida; Apiales; Araliaceae.
AUAUUGACCAAGGCCUUAAUCCGGUCGGGGCGCAACAAGCAGAACCACCAGGCCAUACUGGCGCCCCAGUCGUGGCCCACGAGGAAUACCCUGUCCAGGGCGAGGGAGUCCAGGAGGGCAACCAAGUCGCCGACGAUGUGGAUGACGGAGUAGCUGGUGGGGGAAGGCGGAGCGUCGGUGUCACCGUAGCCGCGGAGAUCGGGGGCGAUGGCACGGUAGCCGAGGGAGGAGAGAGAAAGCAUCUGGUGACGCCAUGAGUACCAGAGCUGAGGGAAGCCGUGAAGAAAGAGGAUGGGUGGGCCUUCACCUAUCUCUGCUACGUGCAUAUUGAUUCCGUUCACUUGAAUGUUUUUGUGCUCUAUUUUCUCCAUCUUCUUUCUUUCUUUCUUUCUUUCUUUCUUUCUAAGUACUGAAUUACUAUUAAUUUUUUCUCUAUCUAUAAGCUAAAUAGCUUAUGAAUGAAUGCUUCUGUUCUGUUCUCUUCUUUUUUAUAGAGAGAAAUGACGAUUGUAGCUAGAAGAAAUAUAUAUUUUUAUAAAAUAUUAAAUGUUUGUGUGAAAAAGAGUUCCUCUGUAUUUAAUGGUUCCUAAUUGAAUCAUUUUAAUGUAUUUAAAUGUGUAAUUAUGGCUUCACCACACAUUUUUUCGGUUUUGGGAUUGAGCAUAUUAUACCAAAUCCAAAUAAUAAGUAUAAUUAUAUUUGGUAUAGUAUUAUAUUUGGUCAAUGAUUGAUAACACAUUCUAUUUACUAUGAAUUAAAAAUGGAGAAAUACUAUAUCUACCCUCUAUUAUAAUAUUACUAGCGAUAACCGUGCCUAAAGGCACUGUAUAAUUCAAAAAAAAAAAAUCAUGAACACACAAAAAUGAAGCAUUGAAUAUGGACACACACUAAAUUAAAAGCCUAAAUUAAUUCUUAACACACCCGCACUUUCCAUACAUACUCUACAAAGUAUUUAAAUAAAAAUUCUUAUGAAGACAAAUUUCAAUGAAUAAAUAAAUAAUAUCCAACUUUAAUAGUCAAAUUCUCAUAAAUUUAAACUAAGUUUAACUAUAUUUCAAGAUUUAUUUUUUAUAAUUUAUAAGCCUUUUUGAUUGAUUGUAACUUUUUAAAUAGUAACUUGAUAAUUAAAAAUUAUUGUUUGCUUGUUAUAACAACAUUUUUUUUUGUCGCACGUAGAUGGGUAUACAGCUUUGCAGAGCCGUAACUUGAUACAAAAACUGAUUGCAGGUCAUUAUAUAAAUUUAGAAUUAUCUCAGUAACGAAGUUUAAAAAUGAAGAACCAAGACAAAUAAGAGAGAGGGAGAGGUCAAACAAAUAAGGUGACGAAUGACUAAUGGUUAAGUUAUAUGGUCAAUUUUACAACUUGCUUGCAGGAUCAAAUCUUUAUGAAUUUUUAUCCAUAGAUAUAUGGAUGACCCAUGUAGCUUCCUUCAUUAGAUCAAUCAAAUAAUGGUAAACAACUAUAAAAGGACAUGCAAAAACAAAACUUUUUAAAACAACCAAAGAAAAAACACAUCCAUCCAUGCCAAAAGGAAGGCACAAGAGCACACAGUGAGGUCAAUAGAUGAGGUCACCCACAAAAAACUUUUCCAAAUAAGGGAAAUGGGAAAUAGGAAAUAGGAAAUAGGAUGAGGGAACAUAAACUUAUAUAUAGUCUUACUUUGACCAUCUAGGCAAAAUGACAAGGGCUCCAACAGGGACAUGUCAAUAAAAACAUAUAAUCUCAAGCCAAAUUUUUUUAAAAACAAUUGUUCUCCUCCAACCCAGAUCAAAAAAUACAGAAGAUGAAAAACAACAAGAAUUUACAAUUUCAAAUCACAUGUAUUCAAACAAAUUUUAAAAAAUGGGUAAAUUCCAGCUGGCUCAAUUACUUGAUAUAAUUGAAGUAGCAGUAAAAUAAGAAACAUCAAUCAAACAUAAAUUUUGUUAGCUUAAGAAUAUGAGCAAUAAAAGUAAUAACAAUAUAGAAAAGCUUAAAUUUUUUUCAUGCCUUGAGACACCAGAGAAGACAAACAUUCACCCAAGGAGGCAUAACAUAGCCUUUUGACUCUAAACUAUGAUUUUGUUUCUUUCAUUCUUUCUUGGGAAGUCAGAAUCAACAUAAUGAGUACACCCAACAAUCAAUAUAGUUCUAUUUAUUGUUUUAAAAAUAAAGAACACCCAUAAAUCCAUUUAUCAAAAUAAAAAAACUGAACAAAAAACAAUAACCACUAAAAAGGGGAAAAGAAAGGACUCAAAACUUUUCAAUCAAAUUUCUGCUAGUUUAUUCUACUUUCUCAGUUACCAAACAUGUCCAAAGUUUCAAUUGGUAUUUCUGAUUAAAUACAUAUAAUAAAGUGCAUUCAGGCAACAUGCUAUAUUUAUUAAUUUAUGAUAAUUAUAUCAAAGAUAUUUGAAUUAUUAUUAUAAUAAUAAUUAAUUAUUACUUGGUAGAAAUAAAUUAGUGUAGAUAAUAAACACACAAAUGUUUUAUAUUAACAUUGAAAUUUAAUAAAUUGGGUAGUGUAAAGUUGGUUGUAGUUUGGCAAAAUUUUCUCUUCAUUUUUAAUUUUAAUUUUAAAAUUAAAGAUAAAAUUUAAAUAAUAUUUUUUAAUUAAAAAUUUAAUAAUGAUAAUGUGAUACACUAAAAAGGUUAAGAAUUUUACCCUACGUUGUAAUAUUAAAAUAAAAAAUUAUAAUCAAAUUUAAAAUUCGAGUGACUUGUUCUAUCUAUCCGUCCGUCUAACUUAGGAAGGCUAUAGAAUAUGGAAUAUGGAAUACGAAAUAUGAAAUAAUGGAAGAUUGGAUUCAUCGUGAUAGACGUACGUCAUUGGAAUACAUCAUACAUUAUAGUAAGUUAAGUUAUGAAAAUUGUUACUUUGCACUAAUUUCAUAAUUCCUUAUAUUUAAAUAUAAUUGCCUAUUUUUAAGAAUAAUAAAAAAAUUUACGCUACUUUCGUGAAUUUAUUUUCAGUCAUUUUAGAGUUUAUUAUACACUCUUGUCUUGUUUACUUUAAAUUUUCUAUUAAGGGUUAAAACUCUCCCUUUCAAAGUUUCACAAAAAUUUACUUUUAACUUUAAAGUAUCACUUUUCUCAAUGUUAAUUAAUUUUUUUUAUAAAACUGAUUCAUUUUAAGUGUGUGUGUUCAAAUAAUGGUGUUUUAUGGGAAGUGAGAGAGUGAGAGAGUAAGAUGAUGGAUGUGAGUUUGAAUUUUUGAGAGAUAAAUUUUUGGCCGUCGGAUGUUGAAGCCCCAAAUGAUUUUAGAUCGUUGGAUGUUGAAGCCUAAAUUGAUUUGAGGUCGUUGGAUGUUGAAGCCUUGGGAUUUGAGCCGCUCUAGAUAUAUAGUUGGACAUGGUACUAAAUACUUCCUCAUUUCAAGUCAUUUUAUUAUCCCGGAUUAAUAGUCACAUGUCAAGUAUAAUACUUACAAUCAAACAUAGCCUAAGGAUAUAGUUUUAUUCUAUCUUUACCCNNNNNNNNNNNNNNNNNNNNNNNNNNNNNNNNNNNNNNNNNNNNNNNNNNNNNNNNNNNNNNNNNNNNNNNNNNNNNNNNNNNNNNNNNNNNNNNNNNNNGUAGCCGCGGAGAUCGGGGGCGAUGGCACGGUAGCCGAGGGAGGAGAGAGAAAGCAUCUGGUGACGCCAUGAGUACCAGAGCUGAGGGAAGCCGUGAAGAAAGAGGAUGGGUGGGCCUUCACCUAUCUCUGCUACGUGCAUAUUGAUUCCGUUCACUUGAAUGUUUUUGUGCUCUAUUUUCUCCAUCUUCUUUCUUUCUUUCUUUCUUUCUUUCUUUCUAAGUACUGAAUUACUAUUAA